This 201-nucleotide ribosomal RNA is filed under the name uncultured bacterium. RNAcentral's name for it is "partial 16S ribosomal RNA". It matches the Rfam family "Bacterial small subunit ribosomal RNA", at positions 524 to 723 of the family's 1533-position model. The record is from RNAcentral.
UACAGAGACUGCAAGCGUUAUUCGGAUUCACUGGGCGUAAAGGGUGCGCAGGCGGCCAUGUGUGUGAGGCGUGAAAGCCCGAUGCUUAACAUCGGAAUUGCACCUCAAACUACAUGGCUAGAGCAUUGGAGAGGGUAGCAGAAUUCAUGGUGUAGCAGUGAAAUGCGUAGAUAUAUGAGGGAAUACCCAGAGGCGAAGGCG